GAUGAACGCUGGCGGCGUGCCUAAUACAUGCAAGUCGAGCGAACGGACGAGAAGCUUGCUUCUCUGAUGUUAGCGGCGGACGGGUGAGUAACACGUGGAUAACCUACCUAUAAGACUGGGAUAACUUCGGGAAACCGGAGCUAAUACCGGAUAAUAUUUUGAACCGCAUGGUUCAAAAGUGAAAGACGGUCUUGCUGUCACUUAUAGAUGGAUCCGCGCUGCAUUAGCUAGUUGGUAAGGUAACGGCUUACCAAGGCAACGAUGCAUAGCCGACCUGAGAGGGUGGUCGGGCCAACUGGAACUGGGAACCGGUCCCAACCCCUAACGGAGGGAAGAGUUAGGGAACCUUCGGCAAGGGCCGAAGGCCUGCCGAGGCACCGCGGGGUAGGGAUUGAGGGUUUCGGAUCGUAAAACUCUGUUAUUAGGGAAGAACAUAUGUGUAAGUAACUGUGCACAUCUUGACGGUACCUAAUCAGAAAGCCACGGCUAACUACGUG
This 497-nucleotide ribosomal RNA is filed under the name uncultured bacterium. RNAcentral's name for it is "partial 16S ribosomal RNA". It matches the Rfam family "Bacterial small subunit ribosomal RNA", at positions 28 to 507 of the family's 1533-position model. The record is from RNAcentral.